AAAUUGAAGAGUUUGAUCAUGGCUCAGAUUGAACGCUGGCGGCAGGCCUAACACAUGCAAGUCGAGCGGUAGCACAGAGAGCUUGCUCUCGGGUGACGAGCGGCGGACGGGUGAGUAAUGUCUGGGAAACUGCCUGAUGGAGGGGGGUAACUACUGGAAACGGUGGCUAAUACCGCAUAA
Molecule: ribosomal RNA, 180 nt
Filed under: Klebsiella pneumoniae
Lineage: Bacteria; Pseudomonadati; Pseudomonadota; Gammaproteobacteria; Enterobacterales; Enterobacteriaceae
Description: partial 16S ribosomal RNA
Rfam family: Bacterial small subunit ribosomal RNA
Source: RNAcentral